GUGGGGAAUUUUGGACAAUGGGCGCAAGCCUGAUCCAGCAAUGCCGCGUGCAGGAAGAAGGCCUUCGGGUUGUAAACUGCUUUUGUACGGAACGAAACGGUCCGGGUUAAUACCCUGGGCUAAUGACGGUACCGUAAGAAUAAGCACCGGCUAACUACGUGCCAGCAGCCGCGGUAAUACGUAGGGUGCAAGCGUUAAUCGGAAUUACUGGGCGUAAAGCGUGCGCAGGCGGUUUUGUAAGACAGGCGUGAAAGCCCCGGGCUCAACCUGGGAAUUGCGCUUGUGACUGCAAGGCUGGAGUGCGGCAGAGGGGGAUGGAAUUCCGCGUGUAGCAGUGAAAUGCGUAGAUAUGCGGAGGAACACCGAUGGCGAAGGCAAGCCCCUGGGCCUGCACUGACGCUCAUGCACGAAAGCGUGGGGAGCAAACAGGAUUAGAUACCCGUGUAGUCC
RNAcentral lists this ribosomal RNA (450 nucleotides) under uncultured bacterium. RNAcentral describes it as "bacterial SSU rRNA". It matches the Rfam family "Bacterial small subunit ribosomal RNA", at positions 354 to 796 of the family's 1533-position model. The record is from RNAcentral.